AGAUUGAACGCUGGCGGCAGGCCUAACACAUGCAAGUCGAGCGGCAGCACGGCACUUGUGCCUGGUGGCGAGCGGCGGACGGGUGAGUAAUGCCUAGGAAUCUGCCUGAUAGGUGGGGAUAACGCUCGGAAACGGCGCUAAUACCGCAUACGCCUACGGGAGAAAGCAGGGACCUUCGGGCCUUGCGCUAUCAGAUGAGCCUAGGUCGGAUUAGCUAGUUGGUGGGUAAUGGCUACACCAAGGCGACGAUCCGUAACUGGUCUGAGAGGAUGAUCAGUCACACUGGAACUGAGACGUACGGUCCAGUACUCCGUACGGGAGGCAGCUAGGUGGGGAAUUAGUUGGACCAAGUGGGUACGAAACGCCGUAGAUCCCAGCCAGUCGCCGGUCGUGUAGUAGAAGUAAGGUACUUCGGAAUUG
Molecule: ribosomal RNA, 420 nt
Filed under: uncultured soil bacterium
Lineage: Bacteria
Description: bacterial SSU rRNA
Rfam family: Bacterial small subunit ribosomal RNA
Source: RNAcentral